This 477-nucleotide ribosomal RNA is filed under the name uncultured bacterium. Its description in RNAcentral is "bacterial SSU rRNA". It matches the Rfam family "Bacterial small subunit ribosomal RNA", at positions 21 to 507 of the family's 1533-position model. The record is from RNAcentral.
GGCUCAGGAUGAACGCUGGCGCGUGCCUAACACAUGCAAGUCGAACGAAGCACCUUGAUUUCCUCGGAUUGAUUGGUGACUGAGUGGCGGACGGGUGAGUAACGCGUGGGUAACCUGCCUCAUACAGGGGGAUAACAGUUAGAAAUGACUGCUAAUACCGCAUAAGCGCACAGUAUCGCAUGAUGCAGUGUGAAAAACUCCGGUGGUAUGAGAUGGACCCGCGUCUGAUUAGCUAGUUGGUAAGGUAACGGCUUACCAAGGCGACGAUCAGUAGCCGGCCUGAGAGGGUGAUCGGCCACAUUGGGACUGAGACACGGCCCAAACUCCUACGGGAGGCAGCAGUGGGGAAUAUUGCACAAUGGGGGAAACCCUGAUGCAGCAACGCCGCGUGAAGGAUGACGUAUUUCGGUAUGUAAACUUCUAUCAGCAAGGAAGAUGAUGACGGUACUUGACUAAGAAGCCCCGGCUAACUACGUG